UAUUGCAUAAUAUACAAGAGAAAAAUACUUUCAGUUUACCAGAAGAGUCCCAGAAAAUUGCUCUUCUGAAACUAGUAUUUUCCUUUAUUAACUUUAAUAAGUGACUAGAUUUAAAUUUAGUGACCAUAGAAUGGUCAAAGGAUUGGAAUAGGCUCAACAGUCUAGUAAUACACUAAGAUUAUUUUCAUGUAAUACCUCACGCUCAUCCUAAUAAGUGGCAGCACAGUGGGAGGUGAGUGGUAUAGCUGGCCUUUAAGAGACUGAGUUUAAAUUCUUCUUAUCUUAUGAUUUUGGAAGAGUUACUUGAAUCUCUGUUCUUUCAUGUCAGCUUUUCUACAAGGAUUAGACACAAAAAGGUAUACAGUAGGAAGUCUACAGCUGGGAGUCAUCUUUAUCUCCAAUUAAAUUGUGCCAAAAAUAAUUGAUAUGUCUGAGAACUCUUGGGUCCUGUCUCUAUCGUGAAAGGCUGGCACACACGCAUACCUGAUAUAUGUCUGGGACCUGGGUGCCCUAGAGAAACAGCCAGAGGAGUUGGUUUAUUCUAAUCCAGAAUUCCCCAGUCCCAUCCUGCAGUCGACAGUGGUCUCCCUGAAAGAAGACCUUGACCUUCACACAUGAGAUGUGUUCUGGCUAUUCAUGCUCUGUCAUCAAACAGGUACUAUUCAGCAGCCAAAACUCGCAGAAAAGAAAAGGUAUGUAUAAGGGAGAUGGCAAUAGACUGGGAGGGUGUAUCAAUCAAUUCUCUCCAUCCCAUGAUUUGGGCUGAUGGGACAUAGCCUCCCAAACAAGGAGCCCAAACAUUAGUCAACUUCUAGCUUUUGACAUUUCUCAUGCUACUAGGAAAGAAGAAUUCCUUAACCUUCAGCAAAUGCCCCUCAUAGGCAAGUAUCUUUGUCUUUAGGGCACACCCAGAACAAAUUCUGACACGUUUUACCAACCAAGCCCUGGCCUUUAACUAUUAGGAAAAGAGCAGGCCUGGGAUGAGGGUCACUAGCAUUUACCUUGUUCCCUGUGCCAGUCAUAGAACCUCGGCCCUUCCUACAAUAGACCUCUGUUCUCCAAAGUCCCCAUUCAUUCAAUAUGAAAUUAUUGAGUACUUUCCACAUUAUAAUACUCUUAUUUAUUGAUUGCUCAGUAUGAAUUCGGGCAUAGUACUAAGCACUAUUAUAAACAUACUAUCUUAGGUUCCCAACAAUUGUGUGACUUAUUUAUGUUUUCCAUUUCAUAUCUAAAGGAACUAAGGCCCAGAGGAAUUAAACAACUUACCCCAAAUUCAACUUGACGUAUGGUUUGCUCACCACUAUUCUAAGCCUAAACAGAAAAAAUGAGGACACAUUUGUCCUCCAAGAGCCUAGAGUCCAAUAGGGGAGACACACUUGUAUACAACUGACAUCAAAAUUAGUUGGCAAAUGCUGUCAAGGAUGUCCAUACAAACUGCUUUUUUUUUUUUAUUAUGAGUCUCUUAUGUCAGCUACUGACACUUGAUAAUAUAGCAUUGUAUUCAUACACUGCAUAAUGCACAGACAUUGUAAACAGAUCUAUAGUAAUUUGGCAUGAGAAUAUAUCUGGGCCUUGACAGCAACUGGAACUUUAAGCCUUUUGUUAUGAGAAUGUGUGUAUGUAUAUUACAAAAGAAUGCCUGGUCAGGCCUGAUAGAAUAAUGUCCCAGGUGAAAGGUAACCUGCAGGACACAAACAGUAAUUGCCUCGGUCUAAAAUGAAUGAUGACUAGAAAUGCUCUUCUCUAGCAGGUAAGAAAUCUAUAAGGUGGCCCACAGAGCAAGGAGAACAGAGCCUUCAGUGGACCCAGAGGCCCAAGCUUCCUGGGUCAGGGGACUUCACAAGUUUCAUGUUCUGAAGUCCUAACAGGCUUUCUUACUGUCCUGGCUUUGAUGGGUUCCUAGCAAGGAAGGCUCACUCUGAGAUGUGAUUAUGGUCACAGGACAAAAAAAUAGCCUUGGGCUUCCAUUCUAACUUGGCAUGCAGUCUUUGUCACUGAGAUAAAUGCAUAUUUCUUCCACCCCCACCUCUACACUGAAGGAGGAUUACUCAUUCAUGGAACAAUAAAUAAAAGGAGCCUACAGCCAUAGGGGGAGAAAAGGCAAAGGCAAGAAAUUAGCAAGUUGACCAUGAGUGGACAAGAACAUAAAAUCGGAGGGUCACUUUUAAAGCUCAGUCCCUUGCCACUUCCCCUAUCAAUGCCCCUGAUUUUCAGUCUUCUGGCCACAGUUAGAAUCAGUCACUCACACCUCUGUUCCCUCAGAGCACUCUUUACUUCUAUUACAACAUUUCUUCUACUUCAUCUUGUAAUAUAGCCUCUCUCAUUGGACUAAGAGCUCCACAAGGGUAGUAAAUGGGUGAUGUAAAUCUUAAUAAUCUCAGUUUCCCAUGUAUAGGAGACAGCAAUGUGUAGCAGAAGACAACAUCAAAGUUACACCUGCCUUGAGAGGACAUCCUUGACAACGGAGGGAUGGAAGAGCCCAGGAUGGAAAAGAGAGCCAUAGAGAUCUCCCCAGGACCCAGACUGUUCCCAGGCAGCAGUGUCACUAAGGUGACCAAAGGAACUACAUGCUGUUCAACAACUUAUAAGACCUCAGAAGGCGUCUUCAAGGGUCCUUGGCACUUCUGAGUUCCAGAGUCAGCAUGAAUAGCCUUGGGAGAGGCAUGAAGGGGUGUGGCACAGGAAAAUCUCAAAGGCAGAUAUAGAAAUAACCAGGAAGAAGAGGGCCUGUUUACAAAUUGCUAUACCUAAUGGAAACUGUCCCUGUGGCCUGGACCCACCCCCUGGCUGCAGCUGCCAUGUGAUGAUUGCUCUGAACUUCCUACCUGUUCAGCUACUGACUGCCUGUGGAAUGAGCAAGCUAUGGACUUAAUCUGCAUAGGAUUUUGAACCUAGCUGAAUCCUCCAGUUUGAGGAUUAUCAUGAUUUUAUUGCUGUUGCUAUUGUAUAUUAGUCUGGUUACAGUGCUCCAGUUUUCUCACACAGGGGCCAUUGUGGAAGAUGAGGAACAAAUAGACUAUAAAGUGAGAUCUCUGGAUGGGCAGGCUGUGGGUAAAAUUGUAAUAUUUCCAGAAUCUCUCACCUGGCCUUAGUGUAUCUCCAUAUCAAUAGGUGUUUCCAAGGGAUAGAGAGUAGUCCAUCUCUGUAUCAAUAGGUAAUUACAAGGUUGAGGGAGGGCAUAUCUGUACCUGAGAGGUUGGGUGGGGUCCCUUCUUUUGCAGCCGGGUCAUGAGAGACACGGGAGA
Manis pentadactyla (Chinese pangolin) is the source of this 3245-nucleotide long non-coding RNA. RefSeq lists it as uncharacterized. The record is from RefSeq and is a predicted model, not a curated record. The transcript has 4 exons. NCBI's taxonomy places the organism in Eukaryota, Metazoa, Chordata, Mammalia, Pholidota, Manidae.